This is a long non-coding RNA of Felis catus (domestic cat), 990 nucleotides long. RefSeq lists it as uncharacterized. The transcript has 3 exons. The record is from RefSeq and is a predicted model, not a curated record. Lineage: Eukaryota; Metazoa; Chordata; Mammalia; Carnivora; Felidae.
AGUCUCCUUACAAUCCGAGGUCUUUCGUGGGAUGCGGGCGGCGGCGUCCGGCUUCCCGGGCCGAGUGUCGCGCUGAGAAAGCUUGGCUUCACCCACCCGGUUGCGCCUCCCAGCUCACUGCAUUAAGCCCCUUGUGUGUGUGUGUGUGGGGGGGGGGGGGCGCUCAGAGGCGUUAGGAAAACACCACUGAUCAUUCACCGUGGCCUGAGCUUUUAGCGGGCGCUUGCAGUGUGUCGCGUUCAGUACCUCAUCACUGCGCGGAGUCCUCCCAACGAGUCCAUGAGAUAAGGAAGGCGUGAUACCCAUUUGCAGAUUCCAUCCCGAGGGUCGUGGGGUUUAAUUUAUCCCGGUCACACAACAGGAAAACUACAAUCAGAAUUGGAGUCUGUGUGACUCCAGGGACCCCAGUGACGGGACAAUAUCAAAACUUGAUUAUCAAGUUAAAAUAACGCGACCCCACUGAGGAGCAGAGAGAAAGAAGCUGGAAGAAGUGAUGAUGGAUGUCCAGGGCCUGAGGGAAGCAUCAUAUGCAACUGGCCAAUCGUUCAGCAGAGAUGACUUUGCAUGCAUCCGAAUAUCCUCAGCAGUUAGGAGAGAGAAGCUGGGAGAUGGACAGAGAGAGAGAGAGAAUCUUAAGCAGGUACUAUGCUUAUGGGCUGGAUCGCACGACCCUGGGAUCAUGACCUAAGCCCAAAUCAAGAGUCAGCCACUCAACCGACUGAGUCACCCAGUUGCCCUGAAGGUUUUAUUUUUAAGUAAUCUCUACACCCACUGUGGGGCUUGAACUCAUAACCCUGAGAGCAAGAGUCGCAUGCUUCUGACUGAGCCAACCAAGCACUCUUAGGGUUGAUUUCUGAUCGCAUUCUCUGAGUCCUACUUCAUAGAGCUUACACCUUGGUUAUACACUAGUUUGCAUUCUUUCAGUGACUAGUGAUGUUGAACUUGUUCUCCUGUCUUUGGUCUCGUAUAUUUUUGUUUACCACUUUCCUG